GAACUCGGCAAACCAGAUGUUGCGCCGGUUGUUGUCCAGCGUGCGGCUGGAGAAGUAGCGGUCGAAGCCUGGCAGGGAACCAGGACGUCAGGGCCUCACUGGCCUUCUUCCCCACCAGCCCCAGCCCUCCCCGCCUCCCCCAGGAUAAGAGAUGGUCCAGGCGGAGGGAGAGAGACCAGGAGGAGCACAUCCUCUGAUCCAGGAGAAAACAAAAUGUGGAGCAUUUCGUUUCUUUCAAAAUGAAAAGAGCUGUAUUAGGUCCCAGGGGGAUCGUGUGUAAUCUACAACUGCUGCCUUUAUGGAAGAGAAGCACACCGAUGAGGAUGUUUCCACGGCCUUUAACCGCUGCAAUGCUAACAGCGGGCUUUGAGAAGGAGCCGCCUGGGAGUCCUGAGAUUACAGCACAGAGGCUGGUGGGGCUGCCCAACCCGGGGAGCACCUGAAGAGGAGACCAGGCCAGACAAGGAGGGAGGGAACCACCCAGAUCACACAGCAAGACCAGGACCUGGACCUUCUUCCUUCACAUCCAGGACGUCCCCAUCACUGACAGAGGCUGCCUGCCUCCUCCACAUGCUCUGCGUGGCUCACACUUCUGCUCUCAGCCUUGGAAAGCCUGUCCUAGGGUGGGCAGGCUGGCGGUGAACAACACCCCCUCCUCCUCCCAGACGCCCCCCUGCCAUACUGACUGUUCUAGGCACUGUGGACUGAGCUGCUCUGUAUGGGCCAGAGGCCUGAAAGCUCAGCGGGGCCACGUGGAGCUUCCUGCCCAUGGAAGCGUCCAAGUGGAAGCAAAAUGACCGGCCACGUGGCAGGAGACGCACUGGCAUCGAGCAGGAGGUUUGGCCUGCAGUAGGAUUUCUCAGCCUCGGCACUGUGGACGCUCUGGGCGGGAUAAUUCCUGUGGGGGGCCAUCCUGUGCACCGUACGAUACUGAGCAGUACCCCGACCUCUACCCACUGGAGGCCAGCAGCAGCAUCCCCCAACUGUGACAACCAAAAAUGGCUCCAGAAAUUGCCAAAUAUCCCCUUGGGGGGCAAAAUCGCCCCCAGAUAAGGACCAUUGUUCUAAAAGUUUCUCUAAUGUUCCUGAGAGAAAAAGUACUUGUCAGGCAAGUCCUGGAUUCUGGUCCCAACUCUGCCACUCGCUGUACUGUGUGUGUCUCAAGCUCUCUGAGCCCUGUGUAUCCAUCUACUAAAUGCGGGGAAGAGUGCAUCACAGGGAUGCUGGGGAGGCUAAAGGAGAUGUCUGUAAGGGGCCUGGCACUGCUGGGGGCGAAGCCUGAAUGUAAAUAAUGGAGCCCAGGCAGCAGUGUUGUGGCCAGAGGGGGUUUCAAGGGCAGCAGCACUGCAGGAUGAAGCACCCAAGGCCAGCAGUGAGGAAUGGCAGGAGGCGCACCCCACAGUUCACCUGACGCAGCUGCUGACAGGCCCCAAGUUCCUGCUCCCUACCUUAUGCCUCCAGGAAUGGAUUUCUGUCCUCAAUAAGAAACUGAGCCCAGAAAGACGAAAUGAUUUUCCCAAGACCGCACAGCCAAUCAGCAUCCGAGACAGGGCACAGGUCUGCCCGAAGGAGCCUGACCUCUUAAGCACCUGCCGCCGCUUCUGCAAUGCAAGCUGGAGGAGACAGGGUGUAUAGGUAGAGUACCUGGUCUGACAGCCCUAGCUCCAAGUCCUGCUCUGACACCUGGCUGUGUGACCCUAGGCAAGCCACAUCACUUCUCUAAGGCUCAGUUCUCCCAUCUGCAAAAUGGGAAAAAAACACCUAGCCCACGGGUGUUUCACCUAGCCACAUGGUUAUUACCAGGAUCUGUAAUAGUCACAGGGGGUGUCUGGCCCAGGCAGGGCUCAGUCAAGGGCCACAGGAUUGCCCAGAGCAUGUGUAGACAAGGGUGGGAGUGGGGAAUGCCAGUGCCAGGGCUUCCUUUAGGCCUGGUGCCAGUGGCCCAGUCAGUAUUGGGCCACUCCAUGUGCCACCUACAGGCUCCCCACCUGCAGGACAGAGCCAGGUUCCCAUCCCAGCUCCUCCAUGUUCUAGCUCUGUGGCCUUGGGAAAGUGACCCACCCCCUCUGGCCUCCAUUUCCCCAUCUAUAAAAUGGGCAUAGUCAUGCUCCUCUGAAGCACCCAGAGACCAGCACACAGUUGGCACCCAGGACUCACUCACCACACUUCCAACAUGCAUCCCAGCCUGGCCAGCAUGCCCUCCCCACCACUCCCCUCUCUGGUGCUCCUCUGAGCAACUCACAGAUGAUUUAUACUUCAGAGUACGAAUCAAUACAAUAUACGGCCAAAGACAUCUUUAAUCUUUCACAGGGAUUAGGCUACAAGGUACAGUGGCCUCUUUCUACUGGCUGCUCAAUUCUGAUUUCAAUUUGGCCAGCUGAAGUGCAGCUCUCUCUCUCUCUCUUCCUUUCUUUUCACCCACUAAAAGAUGUUCCUCCAAAUCAAAUUUCAUUUAUUGGGUUGCGCGACGAGACCUAGCUGCCUGAACUGCCCUGGCCAGGCCCCCGUAGGAUGUUGCACACUGGCAUGGGGUGGCCUUGGAAGUUUGGGGACGUGGGAGGCCCAGCCAAGCAGGAAGCCAGGCCCUCAGAUGGUGCAUGGGGUGUGGCAGGUAUUGUGAGGGGCGCCUCUGCCAGGACAGGAGUGCCCCGAGCUGGAGGCCCUUGCAUAAUGGCAAAUUUUAUUUUUCUAGAUCAUGAAGUCCUUUUAAAAAAUCUUGAGUAGACUUUAUUUUUUCUAACCGCCCAAUACUUGAUUAGAUGUUGAUAAAAAAAAAAUUAAACAAUAGGCUUACCUUCAGCCAAAACACAAUGCCCAGACCCCAC
This 2825-nucleotide long non-coding RNA is filed under the name Homo sapiens (human). RNAcentral describes it as "HSALNT0105318". The record is from RNAcentral. Lineage: Eukaryota; Metazoa; Chordata; Mammalia; Primates; Hominidae.